Molecule: long non-coding RNA, 1274 nt
Organism: Oryzias melastigma (Indian medaka)
Lineage: Eukaryota; Metazoa; Chordata; Actinopteri; Beloniformes; Adrianichthyidae
Exons: 2
Source: RefSeq, a predicted model, not a curated record
ACUCCAAGCUCUGAGCUUCCUCUUCCCACACCAGAGACUCCAGCCAGGAUCUUUCAGUUCUCCUCUCAGCUGGCUGACUCUCCAGCUGAAGAUCAAACUGUGCAACCACAAACCAAAAUAGAAGAUGCAGCUCUGUCACCUUUGCCCCUUCUGUCUACACCAUCUUCAGCAUGUACUGGACCCAUAAAGACUCGGGGAGAGUCUUUGUGUUGGACCAUCUGCGCUGGCCUGCUCCCAUGAAAGAAGUCAUUGUUGACAUGCUGAAGCUAGUGGACCAGGACUAUGCUGCUCUGGUUCAAAGCUCCUGCCGAGACCCAAACAUCAUGCUCCACCCCUCAACAAGACAUCACAUAUCCCGGUACAUCAAACACCUUGCCAAACUCCUGAACACGCCCAUAUCCCUGAACACCAGCCCAGAAAAGCUCCAGGACCGACAAAGGCUGUGGCAUUCUCUCACAUCAGGAAAUGAGACCACCAGUGUCCCAGUUGUGCAGAUGUCUGAUCAUGUGUAGAUCAAUCCAAAGAGGAAUAUGAAUACAAUGACACUCCUGAGGUUAGUCAAGACUUGAACACCUUUAAUUACAAUGGCAAUAUGCUCUGGCUUUUGAAUCCCAUUUCUUUUGAGAUGACUGACCAUGGCUGCAAUGGCUUUCGCGACAUCAUAUUCAGUGGAAGAGGUCUGAAACACAACAAAUAACUGUAUUAAAAAAAGAAAUAAUUAUACAGGUGGCUCCAUUUUUGUUUUCAUUCUUCAAAAGCAAAAGUGACCACAAUAUCUAUCCACUCAAACCUGGUCAUUAAACCUUCCACAUGCCAAAGUGGGCAAGAUCUUUUAUUGACUGCGCUGUCCUGUAGGGGUCCAGGUGACCCCACUCAAAACAGCAAAGUAGUAUUGUAAAGAAUGCAAAUGGGGAGUUCUAAAAUGCAUAAGUGCAAAAACUAAAUAAAUACACAACAUGGACAAGUAGGGUAAACCAAACGUAGAAGUUGGCACCAUCUUGUGGGAGAAAUAAGAAAUUACACAAUUAUGGGAAGAACUGAACCUGGGAAGGGACCCCAGUGGCCGAGAGAGGAACUAAAUGAGAUAAAUGGUGAAAGAAAAAAAAAUUUUUUGGUAAAAUAGAACCCCCCCCCCCACCUCCCCCAAAAAAAGUAAUUGGAAGAAGGGAAGGUUUUAAAAAAAGUACUCCAUAUGUGCCACGGGAAGAAGUACUGAUCCUGGAACUCAUCUUCUAGUGUUAAAAAUAAAUAAAUAAAUAAAUAAAAUAAAAAAA